GCAGCGCGGGGCAACCUGGCGGCGAGUGGCGAACGGGUGAGUAAUAUAUCGGAACGUACCCAAGAGUGGGGGAUAACGCAGCGAAAGUUGCGCUAAUACCGCAUACGAUCUAUGGGUGAAAGCAGGGGACCGCAAGGCCUUGUGCUCCUGGAGCGGCCGAUAUCUGAUUAGCUAGUUGGUGAGGUAAAGGCUCACCAAGGCGACGAUCAGUAGCUGGUCUGAGAGGACGACCAGCCACACUGGAACUGAGACACGGUCCAGACUCCUACGGGAGGCAGCAGUGGGGAAUUUUGGAUUGGGGUAGCAAGCCUGAUCCAGCAAUGCCGCGUGAGUGAAGAAGGCCUUCGGGUUGUAAAGCUCUUUUGUCAGGGAAGAAACGGCUGUGGCUAAUAUCCACGGCUAAUGACGGUACCUGAAGAAUAAGCACCGGCUAACUACGUGCCAGCAGCCGCGGUAAUACGUAGGGUGCAAGCGUUAAUCGGAAUUACUGGGCGUAAAGCGUGCGCAGGCGGUUUUGUAAGUCUGACGUGAAAUCCCCGGGCUUAACCUGGGAAUUGCGUUGGAGACUGCAAGGCUAGAAUCCGGCAGAGGGGGGUAGAAUUCCACGUGUAGCAGUGAAAUGCGUAGAGAUGUGGAGGAACACUCGAUGGCGAAGGCAGCCUCUCUGGGUCAAGAUUGACGCUCAUGCACGAAAGUGUGGGGAGCAAACAGGAUUAGAUAUCCUGGUAGUCCACGCCUCUAAACGAUGUCUACUAGUUGUCGGGUCUUAAUUGA
This 774-nucleotide ribosomal RNA is filed under the name uncultured bacterium. Its description in RNAcentral is "bacterial SSU rRNA". It matches the Rfam family "Bacterial small subunit ribosomal RNA", at positions 69 to 838 of the family's 1533-position model. The record is from RNAcentral.